This 363-nucleotide long non-coding RNA is filed under the name Homo sapiens (human). Its description in RNAcentral is "HSALNT0104805". Lineage: Eukaryota; Metazoa; Chordata; Mammalia; Primates; Hominidae. The record is from RNAcentral.
CUGAGCCAGCCGUGCCAUGGGGAUGCCCAAUGCAGCACCAACCCCCUCACAGGCUCCACACUCUGCCUGUGUCAGCCUGGCUAUUCGGGGCCCACCUGCCACCAGGACCUGGACGAGUGUCUGAUGGCCCAGCAAGGCCCAAGUCCCUGUGAACAUGGCGGUUCCUGCCUCAACACUCCUGGCUCCUUCAACUGCCUCUGUCCACCUGGCUACACAGGCUCCCGUUGUGAGGCUGAUCACAAUGAGUGCCUCUCCCAGCCCUGCCACCCAGGAAGCACCUGUCUGGACCUACUUGCCACCUUCCACUGCCUCUGCCCGCCAGCAUGGAGGCCCACCCAGGGAGAACAAGAAGCGGGACUCAUU